This 229-nucleotide ribosomal RNA is filed under the name uncultured bacterium. RNAcentral's name for it is "partial 16S ribosomal RNA". It matches the Rfam family "Bacterial small subunit ribosomal RNA", at positions 568 to 796 of the family's 1533-position model. The record is from RNAcentral.
CGCGUAGGUGGUUUAGUAAGUCAGAUGUGAAAGCCCCGGGCUCAACCUGGGAACUGCAUUUGAUACUGCUGAACUAGAGUGUGGUAGAGGGAAGUGGAAUUCCGGGUGUAGCGGUGAAAUGCGUAGAUAUCCGGAGGAACAUCAGUGGCGAAGGCGGCUUCCUGGACCAACACUGACACUGAGGUGCGAAAGCGUGGGUAGCAAACAGGAUUAGAUACCCUGGUAGUCC